This 497-nucleotide ribosomal RNA is filed under the name uncultured bacterium. RNAcentral describes it as "partial 16S ribosomal RNA". It matches the Rfam family "Bacterial small subunit ribosomal RNA", at positions 28 to 507 of the family's 1533-position model. The record is from RNAcentral.
GAUGAACGCUGGCGGCGUGCCUAAUACAUGCAAGUCGAGCGAACAGACGAGGCGCUUGCUGCUUGCUCGUUAGCCGAGCACGGGUGAGUAACGCGAGGAAAACGCACUUAUAAGACUGAGAACACUUCGGGAAACGGGCGCAAAUAGCGUAUAAUAUCUUGAACCGCAUGGGUGAAUGGUGAGAGACGGUGGUGCGGGCACGUAUCGAUGGAUACGCGCUGCUUUGGCUGGUAGGUAAGGUAAAGGCUUACCAAGGCAAGGAUGCGUAGCCGACUUGAGAGGGGGAUCGGCCACAUGGGAAGUGGGCCGCGGCCCAGACUCCUACGGGAGGCAGCAGUAGGGAAUCGUGCGCAAUGGGCGAAAGCCUGACGGAGCAACGCGGCGUGAGUGAUGAAGGUCUCCGGAUCGUAAAACUCUGUUAUUAGUGAAGAACAUAUGUGUAAGUAACUGUGCACAUCUUGACGGUACCUAAUCAGAAAGCCACGGCUAACUACGUG